AUGGCACCCAGUACCUGCACUCCGGAGGAGCCCAAGCCAAAGAGAGGAAGAAGAUCACAGACGCAUAAAAGAACCACCACCCACACUUGUUUUUACGCGGGCUGCGGCAAAACCUAUACAAAGAGUUCACAUUUCAAGGCACAUCUGCGAACCCACACAGGUGAGAAACCCUACCACUGUGACUGGGAUGGCUGUGGGUGGAAAUUCACCCGGUCCAAUGAACUGACCAGGCACUACCGCAAACACACCGGGCAACGCCCGUUCCAGUGCCAGAAGUGCGACCGUGCAUUUUCUAGGUCGGACCACCUCGCCUUACACAUGAAGAAGCACAUUUAAGUCUCAAACAAUGGGUAUGACCCACACUGCCAGAAGAGAAUUCAGUAUUUUAUAUCUUUCACCUUAUCUUCCCAAGGAGGAAGGGAAGAGUCCUGCGAGAAAGCACGACAAUCAUGGUCAAGUUCCCUGCUGGCUCACCUUGGGAAUGAAUGGUCAAGAAACAUGAGGAAGCCAAAAGUCAAAAAUCAAAGAACAGAUUGGGUCUGUGACUGGAUUUUCUAUCAUUCCAACUCUAAAUCCAACUUGAAUAUUCCUGGACUUAACGAAAU
RNA transcript from Otolemur garnettii (small-eared galago), 605 nucleotides. It is a transcript of the gene named Krueppel-like factor 4 pseudogene, with no coding region annotated. The record is from RefSeq and is a predicted model, not a curated record. The transcript has a single exon. Lineage: Eukaryota; Metazoa; Chordata; Mammalia; Primates; Galagidae.